Molecule: non-coding RNA, 2324 nt
Organism: Oryza sativa Japonica Group (Japanese rice)
Lineage: Eukaryota; Viridiplantae; Streptophyta; Magnoliopsida; Poales; Poaceae
Source: RefSeq, a predicted model, not a curated record
AACAUUGUUCCAAACAACAGUGCAAUUACAAUGGUGUAGAAGUAUUUGACAGCAGUAUAUGGAGGGUUUCUCCAGUAGGACAGACUUUGCUUCCAUAGGCAAGCCAAACAUUGUGUGAUGAAAGUUUGAGAGUAUUCUGUUGGAAAGGAUAGGUCACUUGAACCAUCAGGAGAAUCAAUUUCCGCAGGCAAUCGGAGCCAUGCAGAGAAUGCAAGAGACUCGUAGACAGUAACAUUUGGUGAAUGGAUGUCAUUCUGCUCACAGUAUCCUGAUACACGAGCAAAAGUUUCUUGCUUCUUUGGAUAGCCAGAGAUGGUAAUGUUACCCUCUAUGUAUCCACUGGUCUUCCUCCCAGCCAACACAUCCAUCAAUGUUGUUUUUCCAGCACCACUGACACCCAUAAGAGCUGUAAGUACUCCUGGCCUAAAUGAACCACUGAUGCCCUUCAAUAGCUCCAACCGGCUCUCUGUCACACCUUGUGCUUUAAUUACCUACAAGUUUCAUUGGAUAUUAAAGCCAGUUAGAGUUGCUCUUAAGUAUUAUAGAUAUAGGAGAAUCUUCAUACUGAGCAUGCACAUUUCAGAUAUAUUUAUAUUUCAGUAAUUCUCUACCAAAUACCUCUGGCAUGUCAACACUGUAUCUUAUAUCUUCAAACGUGAUGGAGAGAGGUACAAAAGGGAGAACCAUUCCUUUCUUGCCUGGACUAGAAUUCACUGUUGCAUGGUUGGAAAUUGCUUCAUCAUUACUAUCAUCCGCAGUGUCUGGUAGGCAUAUCACAUAUCCGAGGUUGUUGUUAGAUGGAAACUCAUUAUGUUAAAUCAUAUUUAGACAGCUAAAUACAAAAGCGAACAGUACUUGUGUUGGUGGUAAUUCGUCCUCUCGAGGAUGCUUCUAUAACAUCACCGGUCAGAUUAGCUUGUUUUAUCUUCAACGUCUCCUCAGAUAUUGUUGGCUGAUUGCUGUCAAAUGCUGCAGUGAAAGAAUGCAUAAAAAUGAGAAAUUAUAAAAAUGAGAAUUUAUAAGCUCUGGCAUUCCAAAUAUAAUUUAUUUCUGACUCACGAUUGAGGAAUGUGAGGCAGAUUGUGUAGAGGAUAUUGAAUAGCAGGACGUAUCCGAGCAAUGCACCAACACCAAUCCAAUACCAUUUGGCCUCAGGGAAAACUCCACGGGAUUCAAGAACUAGUUUUCCAAGUGGCUCCCUGAAACCAGGGCAGCAGGGUGGCUCCUGCUCUUGUCAAAUGGGAUUGCCAACUCACUUCUUAUUGCCUGACCAACAUGGAAAGACUGAAAUGCCUCUGCAAACUCCUUAACAGGAACAUAUCGGUUGUAACAAAGCAAUGACUGCUGUUCCACCAACAAUGUGGAUGGUCUGCCGGAUGGAGUCCACAAUAUUGUAUGUUGUGGAGCUGUCAAGUCCAGUUGAUAUCUCAUCCAUGAAAAGGGCUCGUCCUGGGGUGACAAUCAUCUCAGCUGCAACACCAAUUUCAGGGUCCGGAGAAAUUGACUGUCUCACGAACCGUCAAUUCACCCAUAUGUAGAUCAUGUUGACUAACAUAAGCUGCUGAUCUCCGGGGCUCGAAUUCAUCCAUGGUAUGGCCAUUGUAUGUUAUUUGUCCAGAUACCUUGUGCGGUUGCAAUGUUACAUUUAGUACUAGUACUUCCAAGGGUAUGAUAAACUGACAAAGCAAUGUACUCAAGUAAAUAAAAAGAAUAAUUGAGUACCUUUAGACCUGAAGGGACAUUUCCAGCCAAGGCCAAAAGAAGUGUGGUUUUUCCAGCGCCAGGAGGACCCAAAAGCAAGGUCAUUCUGAAAACAGAGAGCCCUAUGUUUGGAGUACCAAUCAGGCAAGUCUGCUGUUUAUCAAGAUGUCCAAGAGAAGUCGUGUUACCAACUCCAACCAGAGAACCUAAUCUCGUUGCUCUUCAGGAUCACCGGUUUGACUGUCUUAACAGUGGCCCAGAAUUUUGCUGCACUACAGGAAGCUCUCUAGCUAACACGGGCGAUUGUCGUAAUCAAAAUUAAUGACAAGCACUGAAUUUGUUUUUGCCAACUAAGUUUCACAAAACCACAGAUAUAUUGACUAAAUUAACACAAAACUACAGAUUGAUACAUCACUUUAAUUCUGUAGUUUUAUGAUAUAUCACCUUAAAUCUGUAGUUUUGUGAUAAUUUGAACAAAGUAUUUGUAGUUUUGUGAAAUUUACUAAUUUUCUCCUAUCGGUGGAUGUACCAGUUUGAGUUACGUUUCUAUUAUUGCAAUAGAAAGAAAACUCUGACUAGAAGUACCCUCUCUGAAAAUAGUCAACGAGACCAAUUUAUUUUGA